RNAcentral lists this long non-coding RNA (2670 nucleotides) under Panax ginseng (ginseng). RNAcentral describes it as "long non-coding RNA (PGIN_LNC006220)". The record is from RNAcentral. Lineage: Eukaryota; Viridiplantae; Streptophyta; Magnoliopsida; Apiales; Araliaceae.
AUAUAUAUAUAUAUAUAUAGUUCACCUAUCGUGUAAUAAUUAAUUUGAAAUUGAUAUUUUCACAUAAAAAGUGCAGCUAUAGAUGUAUAGCGAUAAUUUUCAUAUAAAAAUAUCAAUUUCCUAAUUAAUUCCGUUACCUUUUUACAACUCUCUCUCUCUCUCUCUCUCUCUCUCUAAAUCCAUGUUAAGAAUAUUGAUGUUAACACUAAUAUGAUCGGUGCUUGAAAAUUCUUCAAGCUGUUGGGUGCUCCAUUUGAACCUUACCACCAAAAGGAAAUAUACAAAAAUGUUGGUAUACAUUUGAAAGUGGGGGUAAUUAGGUAAUCCACUAGAACAUAGUAGUAUUACCCUUAAAGGAACAAUUAUAUAUUCUAUUAUAUUUUUAAAAAUAAUUACAACAAUAAUUCACUCAUAAAAUAUUUACACAAUUAAUACACUUUUAUAUUUAUUUACAAUAUUAGUGCAAUUAGAAUUCCUUAAUUUUGAGAAUUAGUAUGCAAUUAGGAUUCCUUAAUUUAGGGGAUUAAUAUUGAUUUAAUUAGUAAAUUAAAUAAUUAAUAAGUAAAUUAUAUAGCACACCUUCUCUGCCCUCCUCUACCAUUAACAGUCCCAACUUGUUAACAUCAUCCUCCGCCCUCCUCCACCAUUAACGCCCUUCUCCUCCGCCCUCUUCCACCAUUAACGCCAUCCUCCACCAUUAACCUAGACAAUCCCAUCUUGUUAACGCCAUCCUCCACCUGCGAUUUUUUCAUAGUACAGCUGCUGCGAUUUUUUUAUAGUUCAAUUGAAAGCCAAACAUUCAUACCAAGGUAACCAAUUCAGUGUUAUUAGGUUUCUAAUUUAUUUUUAAAAAAUCUAUUAUAGAUUUUUUUUUUUUUUAAUAGUGCAGUUGGUAGCUAACACUUUAUACAAAUGUAACCAAUUCAGUUUUAUUGGGUUACCAAUUAAUUAAAAAAAAUCUAUUGUAGAUUUUUUCUUUUAUAAUGCAGUUGGUAGCUAAACCUUAAUACAAAGGUAACCAAUUCAGUUUUAUUGGGUUACCAAUUAAUUAUAAAAAAUAUAUUAUAAUUUUUUUUUUUCAUAGUGCAAUUGGUAGCCAAACUUUAAUACAAAUGUAACCAACAAAAACUAAAACUGUUACCUUUGAAAGUUUUGGUUACCAACUGCACUGAAAUUUCUCUUGGUUACCCACAAAAACUAAAAUGGUUACCUUUGUAUAAAUAUUUGGAUACCAACUGCACUAAAAUUUAUCUUUUUCUCCUUUUAAUUUCUAGACUAAAUCAACCUUCGUCAUAAUGGCAGUUGUGGCCGUAAUGGAUGAGGAGAUCGGCGUCCAUGGCGGCUACACCUUCAAGAUCUACAGAUCUACAUCUUCAAGGUAUUGAAGCGGCGGUGAAGGGGAGGAGGAAGAUGACCGGCGAAGGGGAGGAGGAAGAUGACGUUGUCAAAUUUUGAAUAUUUGAAUUUUAAUUAUUAUUUUUGAAUUUAAAUUUGUUUUUGUUGUUAGAUCCAAGAUAUUUGAAUUUGAAUUAUUAAUUAUGGUAGUUAUUUCUCCUUAAUUUUAGGUUUCCUUAUUCUUAUGAAUUGAAUCCUAUACUAAUUCCCUAAAUUAAAAAAUCCAAAUUGUACUAAUAUUGUAAAUAAAUAUAGAAAGUGUAUUAAUUAUGUAAAUAUUUUAUGAGUGCACUGAUAUUGUAAUUACUUUCUAAAUGUUAUAUAUUAUUGUAAAGGACCCCUUCCUCUGUUGGGCCACUAGGAUAGAUCAAGCCCAAUGGGCCAAAUCAUAUCCCAAGUCCCAAAUGUUGACGGAGUAUAAUAAUCAAUGGCUUUGCCUACUUGCUUUUAAAUUUAAAGAAAAAAAUGUGCAUUUUUCAGAACUUAUAAUAAUAAGCUUGAGAAUAUUCAAUAUAAUUCUGUAUUUAGACAUUUAGAUAUAAAUUUUAAUUUGACUUACCAGUAUUUGGUGAGCUUGAACUAGUACUGGGUGGCGGUGGCGGAGGUGACCCUGUCCCUAACUCGAGGCUGUUACAGUCUGUUCCAAAGUAGCCUAAAAAAAAAAAAAAGAUAUGUACAAUUUGUGGUUAUCUUAUCUGAAGAAACUAUGGACGUACGUAGUUGUUUGAAAAACAAGUGUCGAUUUAUAAUAUAACCUCCGAUCCAAACUAAUUCAAAUAAUAAUAUCAAUAUUUGAUGAAAUUUUGAAAUUAAUUUCAAUUAAUUUUUAAACCAGAAUCUCAAGUUCUAAUUAAGGACAUAUAUAAAAGAAAGAAAAAUAAGCAUAUUAAUAAUAUAUAGUGUGGUUUGUAAAUUUCAAUUAAUGGAACGUUAAUGACUUAAUUUUUCUCUCUCUUGAUAAUAAUAUAAAUAGUAAAAAGGGUGGAAGGAAGGAAGAUAUAAAGAAAUACUGUAAGAAGCUUACAUUGUUUGAAACAAGCAAAGGCAGUUUGAUCCAACAAAUUGGAAGAGCCUUCAUUACAUUGGCAGUAGUAGUCUCCAGUUCUAUUAACUACGCACUUUCCAUCACCGCACCAAACACCAUUACAAGCUGAUCAUUAAUAAUUAACGGAUGCAUGAGAUUUUGUUAAUUCACACAUAAUUAAUGAGUAUAUAAUUUAACAUAAUCAAUUAUCUGGAUAUUUACGUACCGCUUGUAUUGGAAGUUGAUUGUGG